CCCUUAGAUGUUCUGGGCCGCACGCGCGCUACACUGACGAAUGCAACGAGCUUAUAACCUUGGCCGAAAGGUCUGGGUAAUCUCCAAAUUUCGUCGUGAUGGGGAUAGAUUAUUGCAAUUAUUAAUCUUCAACGAGGAAUGCCUAGUAAGCGCAACUCAUCAGCUUGCGUUGAUUACGUCCCUGCCCUUUGUACACACCGCCCGUCGCUCCUACCGAUUGAAUGGUCCGGUGAAGCGUUCGGACCGUGGCCUUUGGACGGUUCGCCGUCUGUUGGCUGCGGGAAGUUCGUUAAACCUUAUCAUUUAGAGGAAGGAGAAGUCGUAACA
RNAcentral lists this ribosomal RNA (327 nucleotides) under uncultured eukaryote. Its description in RNAcentral is "partial 18S ribosomal RNA". It matches the Rfam family "Eukaryotic small subunit ribosomal RNA", at positions 1470 to 1796 of the family's 1831-position model. The record is from RNAcentral.